UACGAAGGGCGCAAACGUUGCUCGGAAUCAUUGGGCGUAAAGCGCACGUAGGCGGCCUGAUAAGUCGGAUGUGAAAUCCCUCGGCUCAACUGAGGACGUGCAUUCGAAACUGCCAGGCUCGAGUAUGGAAGAGGGUCGCGGAAUUCCCGGUGUAGAGGUGAAAUUCGUAGAUAUCGGGAGGAACACCAGUGGCGAAGGCGGCGACCUGGGCCAAUACUGACGCUGAGGUGCGAAAGCGUGGGGAGCAAACAGG
Molecule: ribosomal RNA, 253 nt
Filed under: uncultured bacterium
Lineage: Bacteria
Description: partial 16S ribosomal RNA
Rfam family: Bacterial small subunit ribosomal RNA
Source: RNAcentral